This 440-nucleotide ribosomal RNA is filed under the name uncultured bacterium. Its description in RNAcentral is "partial 16S ribosomal RNA". It matches the Rfam family "Bacterial small subunit ribosomal RNA", at positions 338 to 795 of the family's 1533-position model. The record is from RNAcentral.
CCUACGGGAGGCAGCAGUGGGGAAUAUUGCACAAUGGGGGAAACCCUGAUGCAGCGACGCCGCGUGAGUGAAGAAGUAUUUCGGUACGUAAAGCUCUAUCAGCAGGGAAGAAAAUGACGGUACCUGACUAAGAAGCCCCGGCUAACUACGUUCCAGCAGCCGCGGUAAUACGUAGGGGGCAAGCGUUAUCCGGAUUUACUGGGUGUAAAGGGAGCGUAGACGGCAGCGCAAGUCUGGAGUGAAAUCCCAUGGCUUAACCAUGGAACUGCUUUGGAAACUGUGCAGCUAGAGUGCAGGAGAGGUAAGCGGAAUUCCUAGUGUAGCGGUGAAAUGCGUAGAUAUUAGGAGGAACACCAGUGGCGAAGGCGGCUUACUGGACUGUAACUGACGUUGAGGCUCGAAAGCGUGGGGAGCAAACAGGAUUAGAUACCCCGGUAGUC